GUCCCUAUCUGCCGUGGGCGCUGGAGAACUGAGGGGGGCUGCUCCUAGUACGAGAGGACCGGAGUGGACGCAUCACUGGUGUUCGGGUUGUCAUGCCAAUGGCACUGCCCGGUAGCUAAAUGCGGAAAAGAUAAGUGCUGAAAGCAUCUAAGCACGAAACUUGCCCCGAGAUGAGUUCUCCCUGAGACUUUAGGUCUCCUGAAGGAACGUUGAAGACGACGACGUUGAUAGGCCGGGUGUGUAAGCGCAGCGAUGCGUUGAGCUAACCGGUACUAAUGAACCGUGAGGCUUAACCUUACAACGCCGAAG
Molecule: ribosomal RNA, 309 nt
Filed under: Salmonella enterica subsp. enterica serovar Anatum
Lineage: Bacteria; Pseudomonadati; Pseudomonadota; Gammaproteobacteria; Enterobacterales; Enterobacteriaceae
Description: partial 23S ribosomal RNA
Rfam family: Bacterial large subunit ribosomal RNA
Source: RNAcentral